CGCUAGCUACAGGCUUAACACAUGCAAGUCGAGGCGCAGCAUUUCAGUUUGCUUGCAAACUGGAGAUGGCGACCGGCGCACGGGUGAGUAACACGUAUCCAACCUGCCGAUAACUCGGGGAUAGCCUUUCGAAAGAAAGAUUAAUACCCGAUAGUAUAAUCAGACCGCAUGGUCUUAUUAUUAAAGAAUUUCGGUUAUCGAUGGGGAUGCGUUCCAUUAGGCAGUUGGUGAGGUAACGGCUCACCAAACCUUCGAUGGAUAGGGGUUCUGAGAGGAAGGUCCCCCACAUUGGAACUGAGACACGGUCCAAACUCCUACGGGAGGCAGCAGUGAGGAAUAUUGGUCAAUGGGCGCAGGCCUGAACCAGCCAAGUAGCGUGAAGGAUGACUGCCCUAUGGGUUGUAAACUUCUUUUAUAUGGGAAUAAAGUUUUCCACGUGUGGAAUUUUGUAUGUACCAUAUGAAUAAGGAUCGGCUAACUCCGUGCCAGCAGCCGCGGUAAUACGGAGGAUCCGAGCGUUAUCCGGAUUUAUUGGGUUUAAAGGGAGCGUAGGUGGACAGUUAAGUCAGUUGUGAAAGUUUGCGGCUCAACCGUAAAAUUGCAGUUGAUACUGGCUGUCUUGAGUACAGUAGAGGUGGGCGGAAUUCGUGGUGUAGCGGUGAAAUGCUUAGAUAUCACGAAGAACUCCGAUUGCGAAGGCAGCUCACUGGACUGCAACUGACACUGAUGCUCGAAAGUGUGGGUAUCAAACAGGAUUAGAUACCCUGGUAGUCCACACAGUAAACGAUGAAUACUCGCUGUUUGCGAUAUACAGUAAGCGGCCAAGCGAAAGCAUUAAGUAUUCCACCUGGGGAGUACGCCGGCAACGGUGAAACUCAAAGGAAUUGACGGGGGCCCGCACAAGCGGAGGAACAUGUGGUUUAAUUCGAUGAUACGCGAGGAACCUUACCCGGGCUUAAAUUGCAUUUGAAUAUAUUGGAAACAGUAUAGCCGUAAGGCAAAUGUGAAGGUGCUGCAUGGUUGUCGUCAGCUCGUGCCGUGAGGUGUCGGCUUAAGUGCCAUAACGAGCGCAACCCUUAUCUUUAGUUACUAACAGGUCAUGCUGAGGACUCUAGAGAGACUGCCGUCGUAAGAUGUGAGGAAGGUGGGGAUGACGUCAAAUCAGCACGGCCCUUACGUCCGGGGCUACACACGUGUUACAAUGGGGGGUACAGAAGGCAGCUACCUGGUGACAGGAUGCUAAUCCCAAAAGCCUCUCUCAGUUCGGAUCGAAGUCUGCAACCCGACUUCGUGAAGCUGGAUUCGCUAGUAAUCGCGCAUCAGCCAUGGCGCGGUGAAUACGUUCCCGGGCCUCGUACACACCGCCCGUCAAGCCAUGAAAGCCGGGGGUACCUGAAGUACGUAACCGCAAGGAGCGUCCUAGGGUA
This 1427-nucleotide ribosomal RNA is filed under the name uncultured organism. RNAcentral's name for it is "16S ribosomal RNA". It matches the Rfam family "Bacterial small subunit ribosomal RNA". The record is from RNAcentral.